This 880-nucleotide long non-coding RNA is filed under the name Durio zibethinus. RNAcentral describes it as "long non-coding RNA (DZIB_LNC000446)". The record is from RNAcentral. Lineage: Eukaryota; Viridiplantae; Streptophyta; Magnoliopsida; Malvales; Malvaceae.
UUUUCGCGACGUUUCUCUUUCUUCUUCCGCUUCCUUUUCCGUCUCAUUUUCUUCAGGGGGCAUCAUUCAUCGCCUAGAGCCGGUAAGUGUCAGAUGAAACCGAACAUAACUGAAACUUCCACUACGAGACAUCCCAGCUUGGCAUCAACAAUCAAAUAUUCUUCCUCAAUGGUCGGGUUAUUUUUUUUUUUUUAAAUUUUAUCGACUGCUAAUUAUGUCACGCAAUAUCGAGUGCUGUUGAUAGCACGCUCCCGAUUUUAAGGAUACUGCUGCUUACUACACAAUUAUUACGACAGUGAACUGGAUAUAAUGAUGUAUUUUGUUGUUCUAAGCAGUUUUACAUUUUUAUUCAUUUGUUACAUUUAUAUUCAUAUGUGUAUUAGUUUUUAUUUUUUUAAAAUUGUUCAAAUCAAGAUUUGAUUUUUUUAAAAAGUUUAAUAAAUAAAAUUUUAAUUUAUUUGAAAAGUAAUACUUAAAAACUCAGCUUUCAUCUUAUCAACGUAUUACAUUAAUUUCGUGUGAAUCAAAAUAUUUUUUAAUUGUGUAAUGUUUUAUGAUGUGGACGCUAAAAUGGAAAAUGAAUUUAUUCAUUUAAGUAAAAUAUACCUAAAAGUAGAAAACUUCAAAUUAGCCGCCUUUAUCAUCUUAAAUUAAUUCUCAUUUUAAAAUAAUAAAAUAUUAAACUAAAUAAGAAUGAUUAAAAUUUUAAAAAAAAUUUAUUUAGUAUAUGCUUUUAUGAUUUAUUAUUUUUUAUAUUAAUAAAUAAUAUGUUUGAAAUAAAAAAUUAUUUUGAAAAUAAUUUUUAACUUGAAAUGAUUUAUUUAAUACACAUCCUUAAGUUUUAUUGAUUUUAGUACUAAAUAAAUACUAGUAGUAUUUG